RNAcentral lists this ribosomal RNA (253 nucleotides) under uncultured bacterium. Its description in RNAcentral is "partial 16S ribosomal RNA". It matches the Rfam family "Bacterial small subunit ribosomal RNA", at positions 524 to 776 of the family's 1533-position model. The record is from RNAcentral.
UACGGAGGGUGCAAGUGUUGUUCGGAAUCACUGGGCGUAAAGCGCGUGUAGGCGGCCUCCUCAGUCUGGUGUGAAAGCGCGGGGCUCAACCCCGGAAGUGCAUUGGAUACUGGGAGGCUGGAGUACCGGAGAGGAGGGUGGAAUUCCUGGUGUAGCGGUGAAAUGCGUAGAUAUCAGGAGGAACACCGGUGGCGAAGGCGUCCCUCUGGACGGAUACUGACGCUGAGACGCGAAAGCGUGGGGAGCAAACAGG